Molecule: ribosomal RNA, 326 nt
Filed under: uncultured eukaryote
Lineage: Eukaryota
Description: partial 18S ribosomal RNA
Rfam family: Eukaryotic small subunit ribosomal RNA
Source: RNAcentral
CCCUUAGAUGUUCUGGGCUGCACGCGCGCUACACUGAUGCGUUCAACGAGUGUACAACCUUGCCCGAUAGGGUUGGGUAACCUUUUGAACACGCAUCGUGAUGGGGAUUGAGUAUUGCAAUUAUUACUCAUCAACGAGGAAUUCCUAGUAAUGAUGAAUCAUCAGUUCAUCGUGAUUACGUCCCUGCCCUUUGUACACACCGCCCGUCGCUCCUACCGAUUGAGCAAUCCGGUGAAUAUUUCGGACCUAGAAUUGUCGGGGCAACUCGUUCAGUUUUGGGAAAGUCAAGUUAACCUUAUUGCUUAGAGGAAGGAGAAGUCGUANCA